RNAcentral lists this long non-coding RNA (250 nucleotides) under Elaeis guineensis (African oil palm). RNAcentral describes it as "long non-coding RNA (EGUI_LNC032759)". The record is from RNAcentral. Lineage: Eukaryota; Viridiplantae; Streptophyta; Magnoliopsida; Arecales; Arecaceae.
ACAUUAUCAUUUUAUGUAAUUAUGUUUUUCUUUUUUCAAAAAGGAAAUGUAUUGUUGAGGGUGUUAGCUAGUGAAGUAAAUAAAGUGUUUUUGAGGUUAGCAUCAAGGUUUUGGGUUCAAGUUAGAGCGUGACCCAGAUUUUAGUUGAGAUUUCUGAUGUCCUGGUUCUUAAAACAAAAGAGAAGAUGUAUUGCAUGAAAUGAUAUAUGCUUUGCUCAUAUUCAAACUGAUUUUCUUCCCAUUCUCCAUA